AAAAGGACUUCAUUCCGGUCGAUCGCCAGGACUUCCAUCGACGGUAAGACGCCAAAAGGACUCAUCGGAGGAGUAUACUCCUUUCUUCGUUUAAAAUGGGUCCCCGGAGAUGCCUCCGAAGAACGGAGGACCGAAAUGAGAGUGGCGCGUGUGAGAAAUGGACCUGAUGGGUAUCCGAGGGCCAGAGGAAUCCGGUGCCCUGAUAUGCGGGCCCAUUUUUUCAGUGUCCUUAUGCAUGUCCUUCCCUCCGUAUAAAUGUGCAGGGACUCUUUGGGUUGCGUUUCUCCGCCAAUCUGCUUCGCGACUCGAGGAUUUAUAUCCUUUUUACUUCCAGGAAGGCCAGUUUCGCCAGAGGCAUUUGCAUUUCUAUCGUAAAAUUGCGAUAAACUUUUGGCCCAACAUUCUCAGCCAGAUUGCGACCAUAAAUGUAUUUAUCAAAAAGAUCUUUACCGACAAAUAUGGAAAUGCAGACGAUAAAUGCAUUCAACACACAUAAAAUGUGAUCAUCAGACUACAAGAAUAACGAAAAACCGGUUAUGUUCUGCUAAAUUAUCGCUUUGCACACGGCAGAACUCAUCUUCAAAAUCUCGCGUAACAAUCGCAGAACGUAAAAGGGGGUUCCGUUUCAUUCACCCCCUCCAGCGUUGUUCGAUUUGGGUCUAAUUCCUGAACAGGUCUUGGGCUGCCCAUUUUAAACAGGUCUCUGUUGUAUCGCACGAUCUUUGGAAUCAGUAUUGAAACGACAACGGUCCAGCGACACCAGAGCGUUCCAGAGAAGCAAAGAGUUUACCCUUCCUGCCGAAGAUGCUACUAAGAUUGUCGUGCUUGGUUCUUGCCCUUGCGAUCAUGCUGGUAAUCACACCGGAUCGUGGAGUAUCAGCCGGGAUUCCCCAUCGAGUCCGUAGAGCCGGAAUUUCCAAUGAUGCCGAAAUCCAGGGUGUACGUGAGCUACCACCAACAUUUAGCGUCGUUCAGCCGGAAGUAUUUUUCGUGUCUUAUGGAACCGGUAACUUCAGGGAUGACGUCAAAAUUGCGCCCUCACUUCAGCGAUACAUUGCAUGAGAUUAACAUAAAACGCACCCAGAAUAUGUUGG
This is a long non-coding RNA of Anopheles aquasalis, 1094 nucleotides long. RefSeq lists it as uncharacterized. NCBI's taxonomy places the organism in Eukaryota, Metazoa, Arthropoda, Insecta, Diptera, Culicidae. The record is from RefSeq and is a predicted model, not a curated record.